This 513-nucleotide ribosomal RNA is filed under the name uncultured bacterium. RNAcentral's name for it is "bacterial SSU rRNA". It matches the Rfam family "Bacterial small subunit ribosomal RNA", at positions 31 to 537 of the family's 1533-position model. The record is from RNAcentral.
GAACGCUGGCGGCGGCUUACACAUGCAAGUCGAGCGGUAACAUUUCUAGCUUGCUAGAAGAUGACGAGCGGCGGACGGGUGAGUAACGCGUAGGAAUCUGCCUAGUAGUGGGGGACAACAUGUGGAAACGCAUGCUAAUACCGCAUACGCCCUACGGGGGAAAGGAGGGGAUCUUCGGACCUUUCGCUAUUAGAUGAGCCUGCGUGAGAUUAGCUAGUUGGUGGGGUAAAGGCCUACCAAGGCGACGAUCUCUAGCUGGUCUGAGAGGAUGAUCAGCCACACUGGGACUGAGACACGGCCCAGACUCCUACGGGAGGCAGCAGUGGGGAAUAUUGGACAAUGGGCGCAAGCCUGAUCCAGCCAUGCCGCGUGUGUGAAGAAGGCCUUAGGGUUGUAAAGCACUUUCAGGAGUGAGGAAGGGCGUAUAGUUAAUACCUGUAUGUUUUGACGUUAACUCCAGAAGAAGCACCGGCUAACUCUGUGCCAGCAGCCGCGGUAAUACAGAGGGUGCGA